This 268-nucleotide long non-coding RNA is filed under the name Mytilus galloprovincialis (Mediterranean mussel). The record is from RNAcentral. Lineage: Eukaryota; Metazoa; Mollusca; Bivalvia; Mytilida; Mytilidae.
UUUAUGAUGGUAUGAUACUAAACCCCUAGCGAUAGGGAUUAUGCUUGAUUUUCAUAUGAUAAAGACAUAAUCCUUGAAUCAGUUUUAUUGAGGUCUGGAGCAGGCAUGUCAGUAAAUGCUAGUAGUCCAUUAUUAAUUUAUGUAUCAUUGUCAUUUUGUUUCAUUUCGUUUGACAUCCGACUCCGAAUCUUUUUAAGCUGAGUUUCACCUUGUGUAUUGCUGUGCAUUUCUUUAUUCUACAUUGGCCAGAGGUAUAGGGAGAGGGAUG